ACGUCCAUACCAUACUGAAAACACCGAUUUUCGUCCGAUCACCUAAGUUAAGCAUCAUUGGUCGUGGUCCGUACUUGGGAGAGUGACCACCUGGGAACACUGCGUGCCGCUUG
Molecule: non-coding RNA, 113 nt
Organism: Trichonephila inaurata madagascariensis
Lineage: Eukaryota; Metazoa; Arthropoda; Arachnida; Araneae; Nephilidae
Source: the annotation of a GenBank genome assembly